AGUGAACGCUGGCGGUAGGCCUAACACAUGCAAGUCGAACGGCAGCACAGUAAAAGCUUGCUCUUACGGGUGGCGAGUGGCGGACGGGUGAGGAAUACAUCGGAAUCUACUUUUUCGUGGGGGGUAACGUAGGGAAACUUACGCUAAUACCGCAUACGACCUACGGGUGAAAGCAGGGGAUCUUCGGACCUUGCGCGAUUGAGUGAGCCGAUGUCGGAUUAGCUAGUUGGUGGGGUAAAGGCCCACCAAGGCGACGAUCCGUAGCUGGUCUGAGAGGAUGAUCAGCCACACUGGAACUGAGACACGGUCCAGACUCCUACGGGAGGCAGCAGUGGGGAAUAUUGGACAAUGGGCGCAAGCCUGAUCCAGCCAUACCGCGUGGGUGAAGAAGGCCUUCGGGUUGUAAAGCCCUUUUGUUGGGAAAGAAAAGCAGCAGGUUAAUACCCCGCUGUUCUGACGGUACCCAAAGAAUAAGCACCGGCUAACUUCGUG
Molecule: ribosomal RNA, 492 nt
Filed under: uncultured bacterium
Lineage: Bacteria
Description: partial 16S ribosomal RNA
Rfam family: Bacterial small subunit ribosomal RNA
Source: RNAcentral